Molecule: ribosomal RNA, 497 nt
Filed under: Fusarium oxysporum
Lineage: Eukaryota; Fungi; Ascomycota; Sordariomycetes; Hypocreales; Nectriaceae
Description: SSU rRNA
Rfam family: Bacterial small subunit ribosomal RNA
Source: RNAcentral
UUUGUUUAUAUAUUGAUAAUGACAGUAUAUAUAUCGUGUCUUGACUAAUUGCGUGCCAGCAGUCGCGGUAAUACGUAAGAGACUAGUGUUAUUCAUCUUAAUUAGGUUUAAAGGGUACCCAGACGGUCAAUAUAGCUUAUAAAAUGUUAGUACUUGACUAGAGUUUUAUGUAAGAGGGCAGUACUUGAGGAGGAGAGAUGAAAUUUCGUGAUACCAAAGGGACUCUGUAAAGGCGAAGGCAGCCCUCUAUGUAAAAACUGACGUUGAAGGACGAAGGCACAGAGAACAAACAGGAUUAGAUACCCAAGUAGUCUUUGCAGUAAAUGAUGAAUGCCAUAGGUUAGAUGGGUCAAUUAUAGUCUAGGGUUAGUCUAGCAAACUAAUACCCUAUGCUAUAAUUCCUAAUAUCUGGUCUAUAAAUGAAAGUGUAAGCAUUUCACCUCAAGAGUAAUGUGGCAACGCAGGAACUGAAAUCACUAGACCGUUUCUGACACCAG